GGCUUUGACCCUGGGAUUAAAGUAGCUGUGUUGGCACAGAAUUCCCACCAGGUGGCACUGCGAGCCCAGCAAUGGAGUCGGCCUCCCUGCCGUAGACACCGUGAGCGCACAGGUGCCUCUGGGGACCUGGGCGCAGAUUCAGCAUCCCACACCAGCUGGAUUUCCCUUUAGGUUUCCUCUGAACUCUGCCAGCUGGGGCACAGCUGUGUUGGUUCUCGUUUGGAUUAGAGAGGGCCUGUGGUGAUCCCUCUCCUUUUCAUAACCUGGAGUUGGUGCAAGGUCUGUCUCUUUGGCAAUUAUGUGGCCCAGGAUGGGGCUCCUGUGCUAUUGGGUCAUCGCACCCCCUGCUACAAUAGGUGGUAGAUUUCGGGUUGGGAGCUCUCUCUGCUACUGCUUUUGCUGUGGUGCGGGCAGGAGCGUUUACCAAAUGUGGAUUCGAAGGUCCUGCUGGAAAGGUGAGAAGUGAGUUAUAAACCAUGAGACCUGGGUGUUAGGAUGGAGGCAGAAGGAGGAAGGGAAGAAGUGUUUACUGAAUGCCUACUCUGUGGCGGACACUGAGGGGAGCUUUCCCCACGCUAUCUUACAGUAAUCCUGUAAGUUGGCUACUAUUAUUAUCCCCAAUUUAUGGAUGAAGAAACUAAGCCAUGGAAAGAUGAAGGGACUUGCCCAAAGUCGCUAAGCAGGUCAGCUUUGCAGCCCGGAUUCUGUCCCUGCCCAUGCUCCAGGACCAGAUCCCAAAGACCUGGGAAGAAGGGGUACCAAGAGGAGCUUUAAAAUCUGUCAUUUACCAGUGCAGCCAGCACUAAACUCUUCCUUACUUUCUCAGAAUUCUGGUACCUGUAACUAUUCAAGAGAUUAUCCGUUAAAAAAAAAAAAAAAGAAGAAGAGGGGCCUGCAGUAUUAUCACCACGUUCUAGAGGAGGAAACUGAGACUCAGAGGGGCUAUAUACUUGCUCCAGGUUAUGGCCAAUAGGAAGUGGCACAGCUAGGAUUCAGCUAAAGAUCUAUGUGAUUCAGAGCAUCUAUUUUUUUUUAAAAAAAGGCAAAUAUAAUUGGAAUAUGAGAACUCAUCCAUUCAUUCAUUCACUCAACAAACACUGACCAGGCAGCAUCUAAGAACCAGGUGUGGGAGCAGCUGCUUUCACGUCAGAUUAGUCCUAUCUAAAUAUUCCUUAGUCCUCCAGGUUCGUCUUUGUAUCAUCCAUCCUAGAGCAGGGUCCUGCCAUCCUUGGCAUCAAUAAAGGCUAAUUGAAUGGAAUGGAAUGGAGUUGAAUUAAACUGGUUAGAUUCAGCUGGAGCACUCGAAGUGGUCCAGCUCUCUGGACUUUCUGAGUCUCAUGAAACCAAAUGACUGCAACUAUUCAGUUUGACUUAAUAUGGCCAGCACUUGUUGGGUGGCUGCUAUUUUAUUCCUUUACUAUUUAGCUAAUUUUGGACAUACCAUCCAGCCUGUUGCUAAAAUUAGCUUGUACACUGAAAUAUAAAGCUACGCUAAAAUUUAGAGCAAGGGCAGGAGCAUAGGAGCCUUAUACUGGAGGUGGGUGGAGAGGAACCUGACACUCUAGGCUAUGGAAAGGUAGUGCUUUGUUUAGAACAGAGAAGUAUUUGAAGUGUGGUUAUUCAGUUAACUAGCUGUGUGAACUUGGGCAGGCAACAUAGCUUUCUGAAUUCCCGCUUUCCCCUUCGUAGGAUUCAGUCCUCAUCUCAUUGGAUCAUCACCAAUGUCCGCUCCUUGAGGACACAGUCUGAGUGCUGUGUUAUAUUUUCAGUCCGUGGCAGAGGGCCCAGCACCUAGUCGGUGCUCAAUAAACAUUGAAAGAAGGAAAACUGUUCUUCGAAGUAGGGAAGGAGGUCAGCACAGGUUUAUUUGGCCGUAUUGCAUCGGGGCAUUCAUAUUGACACAGCCCUAUCUCUGAUGACUCCUAUUUCCACAUUGAUGGCUUUGGUAUUUUCCUUUGGGUUCCCCAGAAUCAGACCUUGAACCAAGGAUUUGAGUGCAAUCAGUUUAUUGGAAAGUAGAAGGAACAUGGAAGGUGAGGGGGGAAGUGUUAUGAGGAAGAGAAGUCAGCCGCUAAAGGGUGAGUUAACAAGCCAGUUACCAUAGCAGGUGAUUGUUGCUUAAUUCCAUGGAGAAAUUCUAGGAAACAUUAUAAGACAUACAUCUCAGAAUUCCUCCAUUCAAUGGGAGAGGGAGCUAGGGUAUUUAUAGUCAUUGGUUAAAGGCUGCCUACCCAUCCCCUCCUUGGUGUGUAUGUGUGUUAAACGCCAGGCAUUUUCAGCCUGUGCCAUGGGCAGACCAAAUGGGUUCUGCUAGCCUGAGGUAGAUCUUCGAGAAGACAUAGAUGCUGACAUGAAUGUAAAUAGUGAGGGGAUCUGAGGUGGUAUGGGCUGAGCACUGACAGUGUCUCCUACACUUGGGGGCCUUAGCAUCACAUUAUGUUAUACAUUGUACUAUCGUAUUGGUAAUGAUUCUACCAGGUGUCAUUGAAGCUUUUCAGUAGUUAGAUUCCUUCGAUUUCCAGCCCAUAGCCCUUUAGAUAGGAAGAAGAUGGAUAAAUAAAUUCAGGACAGAGAACAUGGUCUUGGUGACUCAUCUGGAGAGUUCUUGGUUUAUUUCAAACUCCACAGAAAUUCACCUAUGACCACCCUGCCUUUUAUAGUGUUUAGGCUCCACAAAUCAGACUACCAUAAUACCAACACCUAGUUCCGUCUAGAGGCGUGACUCUCCAGUAACAGAGAUGGACUCGACUGUAGGACUCCUCUCUCUUGUUCUAAAAGGACCCAUAACCCUAACGGACACACAUCUCCAGUCAUGUCUGUCAUGUGCCAGAUACUGUGUGAAAGUGUAAGAUAUGACUCCUGUCUUCCAGGGGUAACAGAUUAGUUUAGAAAUUCAUGAUACACACAUAAGAGAUAGUUAACCAUGCCAGACUGCAUACUGAAUAUUCCAAAAUGGUGACAGAUACUAACAACAAUGAUUUUCCUAAAGGGAAGAAUCAGUGUUUGCCUAAUUGGAGGGGAUGAAGGAAGGAGAUGGACUUGAGCUAGCCUUUGAAGGAUAAGGGAGGAUUCAGAGAAGCAGAAGGAGGGACAAAAAGGAUCUAGUUGGAGAAGUCACUACAGGAAGAGGUGACAAUGAGUAGGGCAGGCUCAGAGAACUCUGAGAGCUGAAGAAGGCUCAUGCUGGAGAGGAGUGAGAGAGGGAAGGAAUAUGUGAAUCUAAGUCAUGAAGGGCCUUAGAAUUCAGGUUUAAUGUUGUAGGUAAGUGGUUUUAUAAGCAUUUUUCAUGAAGUUUCCUACCCCUCCUCAAAGACAAGAGGAGGAGGGUAAUGAAAGGAGCCGAGGCCAUCUCAGCCAUUCCAACCAGUGCAGCUCUACUUUUUUUCUUUGCAUUUUGGGUUUCCAAAUGAAAAUUCAUUUUAAAAAAGGCUUUUCUGCUUGAAAAAAAAGAACAAAAAAUCACAGUAGUAGUGAUGGGGGAGCCAUUAAAGUUUUAAAUCAAUGGAUGAAUUGUUUAAUUAAGUAGACAGAACAUCGUUGGGCACUUGCACUACCAUAUACUGGGCAGCGGGGGAAGUCCAGAUGAGGGGGGCAGCAGUGUGUGCCAUGGCGCCCAAUGGCAGUGCGCAGCGCAGAUUAGGGGGAGGGGUGGGCUGAUAUUAGCAAGCAUGGAG
Equus caballus (horse) is the source of this 3674-nucleotide long non-coding RNA. NCBI's taxonomy places the organism in Eukaryota, Metazoa, Chordata, Mammalia, Perissodactyla, Equidae. The record is from Ensembl.